This 762-nucleotide ribosomal RNA is filed under the name uncultured bacterium. RNAcentral's name for it is "bacterial SSU rRNA". It matches the Rfam family "Bacterial small subunit ribosomal RNA", at positions 625 to 1390 of the family's 1533-position model. The record is from RNAcentral.
CGUUGAUACUGGCAGUCUAAAAUGCGGAUGCCGUGGGAGGAAUGUGUGGUGUAGCGGUGAAAUGCAUAGAUAUCACACAAAACACCGAUUGCGAAGGCAUCUCACGAAUCCGCAAUUGACGCUGAGGCACGAAAGCGUGGGGAUCAAACAGGAUUAGAUACCCUGGUAGUCCACGCUGUAAACGAUGAUGACUAACCGUCGGCGAUAUACAGUCGGUGGCCAAGCGAAAGCGAUAAGUCAUCCACCUGGGGAGUACGACCGCAAGGUUGAAACUCAAAGGAAUUGACGGGGGCCCGCACAAGCGGAGGAACAUGUGGUUUAAUUCGAUGAUACGCGAGGAACCUUACCCGGGCUCGAACGGCAGAUGAAUUGAGUAGAGAUAUUCAAGUCUUCGGACAUCUGUCGAGGUGCUGCAUGGUUGUCGUCAGCUCGUGCUGUGAAGUAUCGGCUUAAGUGCCAUAACGAGCGCAACCCUUGCCGUUAGUUGCCAUCAGGUUAUGCUGGGGGACUCUAGCGGGACUGCCACCGCAAGGUGUGAGGAAGGGGGGGGAUGACAUCAAAUCAGCACGGCUCUUACGUCCGGGGCGACACACGUGUUACAAUUGCGAGUACAAAGGGAAGCUACCGGGCGACAGGAUGCAAAUCUCGAAAGCUCGUCCCAGUUCGGAUUGGAGUCUGCAACCCGACUCAUGAAGUCGGAUUCGCUAAGCAAUCCGCGCAUCAGCGAUGACGCGAUGUAUACGUUCCCGGGCAUCGACACAC